Molecule: long non-coding RNA, 993 nt
Organism: Pantherophis guttatus
Lineage: Eukaryota; Metazoa; Chordata; Lepidosauria; Squamata; Colubridae
Source: RefSeq, a predicted model, not a curated record
ACAAUUUCUCAGUAGAUAACUUCAUAGACGGUAGCCUUCUUGUCUCCAGAUCCAGUAACUAUGUAUUUAUCAUCAACAGAGAUAUCACAGCUGAGCACAGAAGAUGACUCUUUGGACUAGGAGAGAAGAAACAGAAGUAUAAGGCUCUAUGUAUGCACACCUAUGUUCUUCCCUUGCUCCCACCCACAAUGCAUCAAGAUUUAAAUUCUAAUGCUUACUUAAUGCAAGCAAGUUUGUGACUCCAACAUCACAAGGGAGAGAAGAGGACAAGGGAAAGAGAAAGUAUGAAAAAGUGUCAAAGAACACUUCACAAAACUUAAUGCAACUUUUCAUUUUGACAAAUGCUUGCUGGCAUAAGUAAGCCACGGAGUUUCUGAAAUCAACUUUUCAAGUGAUUCUUAUGAAGUGAUUGAAAUACAAGAUUUAACUAAAAGGCCAUAACUGACAGGUCCAAAAUGCUUUAAGAAAAUAAAAGACACCUGGGAUGUGAAGUCAUGCUGCUGGAGCUGCCUUCCUUCUCUCAAGUCCCAGGAUCUGACAGUGUUGUCCAGGCCUCCCGUCCAGAGCUUGGUACCAUCAUUAGAAAUGUCAAUACAGCUGGCUCCAUCUGUGUGGCCCUGGAAUUGCCUGAUAAAACAAACCAGAUUGAAUAAUGAUUUCCUGCCAGAACUCAAGGUGCCAAAGCACAUGGAAUGAACCGCAAAUUUGGGUAAUGAGAACCAAACAUAUGUGUGCAUUGAUCUGUAAAAGGUGGAAGACUCUUUGAAAAGCUGUAAUUCACUACCACAACACCUGGAAAUAAAAAUUGAACAGAUUACCAAGCUAAACUCAAUAUACAAAAGGCAAAUUGGCUCACAGAGAAAGCCAGUUAUUUAUAGGCUUUGUGGAGCUGCCGAAUCAAGGACAUUUUUUAAAAUGCUUAAAAGAUUUGGCUACAUAAACACAAGGAGGAAGCUAUCCAGAAACACGACCUGACUAAGCCUUGCAAAACUC